GUACUAAUAGAAGUUCUUUAAAUUUAAAGAAUUUGGCGGUAAUUUAUCCUUUCAGAGGGACCUGUCCUGUAAUUGAUAAUCCACAAUAGAUUCUACUUACUUUUGGCUUAUAUACCUCUGUCAUUGAAUAUUUUUAUAGAAGAUUUUCUUAAUGUUGUAUUAAACAAAAUGUUAGGUCAAGGUUUAGUAAUAAGUAAGGAGAGAUGGGUCACAAUUCUUAUAUGAUAGGAUAUAUAUAUGGAAGUAUAUUUUUGAAUAUGGAUUUGGUAGUAAAUUCCUUGACUUUAUGGGGUUGAUAUUGGCUCUAAAUUAUGUACACAUCGCCCGUCGCUCUUA
RNAcentral lists this ribosomal RNA (336 nucleotides) under Dicyphus albonasutus. RNAcentral describes it as "partial 12S ribosomal RNA". Lineage: Eukaryota; Metazoa; Arthropoda; Insecta; Hemiptera; Miridae. The record is from RNAcentral.